This 505-nucleotide ribosomal RNA is filed under the name uncultured bacterium. RNAcentral describes it as "bacterial SSU rRNA". It matches the Rfam family "Bacterial small subunit ribosomal RNA", at positions 16 to 507 of the family's 1533-position model. The record is from RNAcentral.
AUCCUGGCUCAGGAUGAACGCUAGCUACAGGCUUAACACAUGCAAGUCGAGGGAAACGAUAUUGGAAGCUUGCUUCCGAUAGGCGUCGACCGGCGCACGGGUGAGUAACGCGUAUCCAACCUGCCCAUCACUUGGGGGAUAACCUUGCGAAAGUAAGACUAAUACCCAAUGACGUCUCUAGAAGACAUCUGAAAGAGAUUAAAGAUUUAUCGGUGAUGGAUGGGGAUGCGUCUGAUUAGCUUGUUGGCGGGGUAACGGCCCACCAAGGCGACGAUCAGUAGGGGGUUCUGAGAGGAAGGUCCCCCACAUUGGAACUGAGACACGGUCCAAACUCCUACGGGAGGCAGCAGUGAGGAAUAUUGGUCAAUGGACGAGAGUCUGAACCAGCCAAGUAGCGUGCAGGAUGACGGCCCUAUGGGUUGUAAACUGCUUUUAUAAGGGAAUAAAGUGGGAGUCGUGACUCUUUUUGCAUGUACCUUAUGAAUAAGGACCGGCUAAUUCCGUG